Molecule: long non-coding RNA, 517 nt
Filed under: Malus domestica (apple)
Lineage: Eukaryota; Viridiplantae; Streptophyta; Magnoliopsida; Rosales; Rosaceae
Description: long non-coding RNA (MDOM_LNC020024)
Source: RNAcentral
AGGGAUUCACCCAAGUGGAGGGCCUUCAAGUCACCUUCAAGCUCCUUGAAUCCUCCUUGUGUUUUCCUCCCUUUAGUGCUCCUUUGAUUAUUUGAGGAAAAAGGAUUUGUUCUCCAAAACACCAAAAGCUUGAUGUCUCUAAGUCUCUUCACCAAGGUUGUAUCUUGUGAAGAUGAAUUGGAUGACUAAGGGAAGAAGAGAUUGCUAGAUGUCCCUCCCUUUAGUGGCCGACCUCCUUAGAAGAAAAUGGAGAAAAUGUUUCACCCAAUUUCAACAAGAAAAAAACCCUAAUUAGAAAAUAGCUAUAAAGUUGCUUUUAUAACCUUUUCUUUGGUGAGUGGCAAACUUGUAAUAAAGCAAACUUUGCCCAUUCACCCUAAUGGCCGGCCCUCCUUGGUGUUAUUGGGCUAUUUGCCCAUUUUGUUUUAGUUGUCAUACAACUUGAACAUAAUGGGCCUUUUGGACCAAAACGCUUUUGGGCCCCGAAACCCAAAACCAACAUAUAAGCCCAAUACGA